GUGGAGGGCAUCCCCCUUUUUGGUAUGUUUCUUACUAAAACACUGCACAGCUAGGCUGUGAUGAGAUAGGUCACUUACAGGACAUCAUAUUAAGACCAGGUGUGGAAUUGUUUGUUGCCUGUUGGGGGGGUAUUUAUAUGUGUCCCUUGCUGAGGAAGAGGGGCUACAAUAACUUGAAGCCACAACCUCAGGUUUUAUCUUCAUUAUUCCUGAGAAUGAAAACUAGAAAAUGAAAUGGGGUGAUGAGUUUCACCAAGAAACCCAUAAAUCUGCACUUUGAUAACAGUGUUAUUUUGGUCUUUUGUUAUGACUGUGUGUGCUGUGAAUGCCUUGCAUUUCCCAGCUAGGCCUUGGGAAAACAGCAGUAUCAUUCCUUUAAAACAAAGAUUGAGCCUUGACCUAACUAAUCUCUUUUCAUGUCAAGAAUCUUGAAUGGUACAUUUCUGUCAUUUGUCUCCAGAACAUGUGUGCACAGUUCUCUCAUCUCUCUUGAAUAGUUAUUUUUCCAGGAUUUUGGUCAGUUUUCAUUUGCUCUCCAAGGAGGUCAUAUGAGCCCAAUUAUGCCGUAAUUAUCGCAGUUAAGAAGUGAGUAAUGUCAAGGGACCUGCCCUUAACUUCACUAGUGCAUGCACACGCUCACAUCCUUUAUUGCUGAAGAGACCGUGUUUCCCAACGCACGCUCCUCCAGAUUUUAUCGAAAGUUCGCUCAGGAGUCUGUGGUCAGGACGCCAGGCUGUGGUAAUGCCAGGCAGUGCUCGGCACCUCACACAGAUGGCCACAGCCCUCUCCAGGCUCCUGAAACACAAACGACUCCUUGCCUUUUCACUGCACUUGGAGAAGGCAGUGUCUGCGAGCUAUGCUUGUUACGAAAUGUUGGAGAAAUGGUGGCACAGGCCAAAGACUUCGUUCAAGUCAUCUUGCUGAUUUUAUUUGCAGCAGAGUGUAGUGUUCAGCAAGAGGACCUCCACUGAGUUUGAAAGGAACUAAUUUAUUUUCUGUUUCUGAAGAGUUUACAUUAUUUCCCACUGCUUAUACUUUAGGAUGUUUAUUUUAUGAGGACUAAGG
Heterocephalus glaber (naked mole-rat) is the source of this 1065-nucleotide long non-coding RNA. NCBI's taxonomy places the organism in Eukaryota, Metazoa, Chordata, Mammalia, Rodentia, Bathyergidae. The record is from Ensembl.